Molecule: ribosomal RNA, 253 nt
Filed under: uncultured bacterium
Lineage: Bacteria
Description: partial 16S ribosomal RNA
Rfam family: Bacterial small subunit ribosomal RNA
Source: RNAcentral
CACGUAGGGCGCAAGCGUUGUCCGGAAUUAUUGGGCGUAAAGAGCUUGUAGGCGGUUUGUCGCGUCUGCUGUGAAAUUUCGGGGCUCAACCCCGAACUUGCAGUGGGUACGGGCAGACUGGAGUGUGGUAGGGGAGACUGGAAUUCCUGGUGUAGCGGUGAAAUGCGCAGAUAUCAGGAGGAACACCGAUGGCGAAGGCAGGUCUCUGGGCCAUAACUGACGCUGAGAAGCGAAAGCAUGGGGAGCGAACAGG